UGCAUUCACUACUGUAAGUCUUUCUGGAUAAGAGCAUCUGCUAAAUGACUAAAA
This is a non-coding RNA of Salmo salar (Atlantic salmon), 54 nucleotides long. The record is from Rfam. Lineage: Eukaryota; Metazoa; Chordata; Actinopteri; Salmoniformes; Salmonidae.